Molecule: long non-coding RNA, 5531 nt
Filed under: Sus scrofa (pig)
Lineage: Eukaryota; Metazoa; Chordata; Mammalia; Artiodactyla; Suidae
Description: lncRNA (ENSSSCG00045039068.1)
Source: RNAcentral
UUUGGUUUUGCUUUUGUGUUUUGGUAAGUCAAACUUUUCUUUCAGAACAAUUUUAGCAUUACAGAAAAAUAGCAAAGGUAGUACAGGGAGUUGACACACAACCUACACUCAGUUUCCGCUAUUAUUAUCAUCUUACAUUAGUAUGAUGUAUUAAUUAAUGAACCAUAGUGAUAUAUUAUUAUCAACUAAAGUUCAUACUUUAUAUUUCCUUAGUUUUAUGUACUAUUCUUUUCCUGUUCCAGGAUCCCGUUGAUCCAAAACAAAUAGACUGCCAACUAUUUCUCCAGAAAAGAUGGGUUUAUUUGAGAUCAGCAGAGAAUUGUAAUUUGGGGUCUGUAAACAUGGUGAGCCAUGUGCAAGUCCAGCACAGUAAAGAAAGAACUCUGUUAUGGAAAGGAAAAGGAAGUUGAGAGGGCUGUAGUAAACAAAGAAGACAUGGCUUUUCCUUCGCUGAGUGUUGCCGAGUCUUUUUUCUACUUGUUGGGUUCUGUUACCAUCGUGGAGGAUGUGAGCUCCUCCUUCUGGUCUCCCAACUCUAUUUAAUCGAGGAUUCUGUUUAUGAUUUAUAGUCCCAUCCAAGAUACCACAUUCCAUUUAGCUAUCUUGUCUCCUUAGUUUUUCUGGACCAGAGAUUUGUCUCUUUUCCAGAAUUUAUUAAUGUAUUGAAUCAUUUAUUCAAUAUGAGUUCUAGCCUUUUCAUGGUCACAUUCUUAUGGGCUUAGUUGUAUCUUCCCCAAAUCCAUAUGUUGAAGCCCUCACCUACAGUACCUCAGAAUGUGACUAUUUGGAGGUAGAGCCUUUAAAGAGGUGGUAAAGUUAAAAUGAGGCAUUUUAGUGUAGGUCUUAAUCCAAUCUUACUGAUAUCCUUGUAAGAAGAGGAAAUUUGGACACAUAGAGACAUACCAGGGAUGUGUGUGCACAGAGGAAAGAACUCGUGAGGACGCAGCAAGAAGAUGGCCAUCUGCAAGCAAGAAGUAGGGCCUUAGAUAAACCAAACAUUGCUGACACCUUGAUUUAGCCUCCAGAACAGCAAGAAAACAAAUUUCUAUUGUUUAAGCUACCCAGUCUGUCGUAUUUCAUAACGAAGCCAAGCAAACUAAUACAGAGACCUCAUUUCCUUCUUAAAAUUUUAUUUUUUCAUGAAAUUUUGCUUUUAUUUUUAAAUUUUUAAUGAUUUUUAUUUUUUCUAUUAUAGUUGGUUUACAGUGUUCUGUCAGUUUUCUACUAUACAGCAAAGUGACCCAGUCAUAGAUAUAGAUAUAGAUCUAUCUAUCUAUUUACAUACAUUCUUUUUCUCACAUUAUCCUCCAUCAUGCUCCAUCACAAGUUACUAGAAAUAGUUCCCAGUGCUAUACAGCAGGAUCUCUUUGCUUAUCCAUUCCAAAGGCAAUAGUUCACAUCUAUUAAUGCCAUAUUCCCAGUCUGUCCCACUUCAUCCCUCUCCCCCUUGACAAUCACAAGUCUCUUCUCCAAGUCCAUGAGUUUUUCUUCUGUGGAAACGUUCGUUUGUGCCAUAUAUUAGAUUCCAGAUAUACGUGAUGUCAUAUGGUAUUUGUCUUUCUCUUUCUGACUUCACUUAGUAUGCUAGUCUCUAGUUCUUUCCAUGUUGAGAGAUCUCAUUUAUUGCUGGAUAUCCAUUUUGGAGAUAUAUUCAUUGAUCUAUUGAAAGAUAUCUUGGUGCCUCUAGUCUUUAGGGAUUGUAAACAUUUGGCUGCUAUAAACAUUCACAUGCAGUUUUUCCAUGGACAUAAAAUUUUAAACCAGCUGUGUUUCAUAGUUUUCUUUGUUCUUAAAUCUUCUCUGUUUGAAAUUAAUACACUGCUGCAGCUUCUUAAAAUACUGUGUUAUCAUAGCCUAUCCCUAUUUUUAACCUGUCUUUAUAUUUAAAGUGGUUUCUUGUAGAUAACAGAGAGUUCAUUUUUGUUUUUCUAGCCACUCUGAAAACUUCUGUCAUUUAAUUGGUAUAUUUAGACCAUUUAUAUUUGAAAUAAUUAUAGUUUUUUUUCUAUUUUUAUUUUUUUCCCACUGUACAGCAAGGGGAUCAAGUUAUCCUGACAUGUAUACAUUUUUCCCCCACCCUUUGUUCUGUUGCAAUAUGAGUAUCUAGACAAAAUUCUCAAUACUACUCAGCAGGAUCUCUUUGUAAAUCUAUUCUAAGUUGUGUCUGAUAAGCCUAAGCUCCUGAUCCCUCCCAUUCCCUCCCUCUCCCAUCAGGCAGCCACAAGUCUUGAAAUAAUUAUAGUUUUGUAUUUUAACCUUUAUACUUGCUUCAUAAGUGAUUGAUCUACUACCUUUACUAAAUAUUUACUCUUUCCAGUGAGAUUUUUAUUUUUAUACAUAUUCUUAAUAUUAAUUAGUGUCUUUUUAGCUUAGAUAAGAAGUCCUUUAAACAUUUCUCGUAAGGCUGGUUUAUUAUUGAUGAACUCCAUUAGCUUUUGCUUAUUUGGAAAAUUCAUAAUCUCUCCUUCAAUUAUGAAUGACAACCUUGCUGGAUAAAAAAUUCUUGGUUGGAAAUUUUUUCCCUCAGCACUUUGACUAUAUCAUACCAUACCUUUUUGGUUGGUAAAUUUCUGCUGAAAAAUCUGGUGAUGGGAUUUCCCUUGUAUAUAAGAAGUUGUUUUUUUUCUUGCUGAUUUUAUGAUUCUCUCUUUAUUUCUAAUUUUUACCAUUUUAGUUAUAAUGUGUCUUGAUGUGGUUCUCUUUGGGUUCAUCUUACUUGGAAGUCUCUUGGCUUUCUGAACCUGAGUGUCUAUUUCCCUCCCCAGAUUAAGGGCUUUUCAGCCAUUAUUUUUUCAAAUACUUUUUCUGUCCCUUUCUUUCUUGUCUUUCUGGGGGCCUAAUAAUGUAUAAUUCUGCUUGAUGUUGUCCCAGAGGUCCCUUAUAGUAUCUUCCCUUUUUAAAAUUCUUUUUCAUUUUGCUGCUCUUUCUGGUGAUUUUCAUUGCUUUGCCUUCCAGCUGGCUGAUUUGUUGUUUUACUUCAUCCAGUCAGCUGUUGUGCUUCUAAAGUGAUUCUUGCCGUUCAGUUAUAACUUCUGUUUUCUAAUUCUUAUAUUUUCUAUCUCUAUGUUGAAGCUCACUGUGUUCAUCUAUUCUUCACCUGAGGAUGGUAAGCAACUUUAUGACCAUUACUUUGAACUCUAUAGAUUGCUUCUCCAUUUCUUAAGAUCUUUUUCUGGGGAGUUGUCUUGUUCUUAGGUUUAGUUUGGGAUUUGUCUGUCUCUUCAUUUUUCCUACCUUUGAAUUUGUCUAUAUGUAUUAAAUGAAACAGGCUACCUCUCUCAGGCUUGAAGGAGUGUUCUUAUGUAGGAUAAGAUCUGUGGGACCUGGAAGUGAAGUCUUCCCUGGCCAUCAGAGUCAAGCCUGCAAAAGGUAUCCCACAUGUGGGCUGUGUGUUCCUGCCAGCUCUAUUUGUAUUUUAACCUUUAUACUUGCUUCUGUGUGGGGAGGGCAGUGCUGUGUAAUUGUUCAGCCCAUUUAUGAUGAAACUGCUGUGUGGGGUGGGUGGAAUGCAGAGUGCUUGCCUAGCUUUGUUGUGCUGCUGUUACUAUGUGAGGUGAGUGGGGGCUUGGGGUUCUCACCCAGAUGUUACCUGGGUUGUGGCAUGGGGUAGAGUAUAUGCACCCAUGCUAAUAGAUUGGAGAGGGCAACAAAAGUGACACCCACCAGUUCUGUCAUCCAUGAGUUAGGAUGAAAUUGCAAAAAUGGUACCCACCAGUGCUUUCAUCCCUGGUGAAAGUCCCAGAAGUUUCCUGCCUCUCCCUCUACAUCUGCUUUAAAAUAGGUUGACUUCUUUUGAUUAUGUUCUAGGCAUUUUUCAAAGUGUUGCUUUUGUGCUGAAUAUCAGUACAAAUGGGUCUGUGCAUGAGUCCUUUAAGAGUGGAUUCUCCAUUCUCAACAAUUUUAUGGUUCUUUUGGUCUUAAUCCCCAUUGAUUUUCAAAACCAAAUAUUUUGGGGACUUGUCUUCCUGAUGCUGAACCCAGAGUCAGGGUGGCUGAAGUGGGACUCAAUCCCUCCACUCCUCAAGGGAAGGUUUUACAUUUUUGGCACCUCUCUCAAUUGUCAGUCACUGCUCCUGAGGUGUCCUCUGGUAUGAGACUGUACCUCUGCUUCUCUUUCCUGUCUCCGUGCAUCUCUCUUACCAUUUAUUGUAGACAUGCUGUUCAUCUAUGUCUCAGGUCCUUUUCAGAGGAAAAUUAUCCCAUGUGUAGUUGUAUAUUUGUUGUGUCCCUAGGAGGAGGUGUGUUUGGGGUCUUCCUAUGCUCACCCUGAACCCCUCUCUCAAAAAACAAAAUAUUUUAUUUUAUCUACAUUUAUCUCUUCUCUGAGUUCAUGAUCUAAUGACCUAUAUCAUUUUACUUCACAGAAUGAAUAGUAAUGAAGUUAGUAUAUAUUUCUAUCUUUUUAGGCCCUUAUCUUUAUGAAAUGAUUUCCGUAGAUGACAUCAUUUUUCUUAGAUUAUCUGUUAUUUACUUCCUUUAAGGAAACUUAUACCACUCAUUUAAUUUGUUAAGUAAUAUAUUUUAUAUUCUGUAUGUGAAAUUUGAGAUAAUCAAUUUUACACACAUCUUUUUUUUCCCAGUAUAUAAUUUUGUAUUAUUUCCAGUUCAUUUUAAUUCUCCCCAUACCUCUUCUCUAUAACUCUGACUGUGUUUUGGCAGGCUUGUUUUCUUUACAUUACUUCUCUGACAGAUUUCAUUUUUUCUGUGAUUCUUUUUACUUCUUUUCUGAGCUCUGAAAGAUUAUGUUUCAUCUCACUGUUGUUCCACUAUUUUUUUUUUGAGUUUUUGUAAUUCUUCUUUGACCUCUUGGAUUAAUUCACUUGAUUAUUUUUAAUUUAUGGCUACAUUCUUGGCCUACAUUUUUAUCUGCUUAGUGGAAAUAUUUUUUUCAUGUUUUUACUGUUCCCUUCUUCUUAAAGAAUUUUUAAAUGACUUUGUGUUGUAUCCUUUUUUAAAAUUAUUGUAAUUCAUUUUUGAUCGAGGUGACAAAUCACAUUUGAGUCAGUUAAAUACACAAAACCUAUGUGGAAAGGCAAUAUUAUAAAUGGCAGAGAUGAAUAGGUAUGUGAGUUGUUUAGGCAUUACUUGCCCUCCUUUUCCCAUAUAACCUAUUGACUUUUUAGUUACCAAAAAAUGACUAGAAUUAAGACAUUUAGAAUGGAUAAGCAAUGAGGUUCUACUAUACAGUGCAAGAAACUAUAUCCAAUCACUUGGGAUAGAACAUGAUGGAGAUAAUAUGAGAAAAAGAAUGUAUAUAUAUAUAUAUGUGUGUGUGUGUGUGUGUAUAUGUACACACACACACACACACACACACACACACACAUAUGAGACUGGGUCACUAUGCUGUAUAGCAGAAACUGACACAACCUGUAAAUCUACUAUAUUCUAAUAAAAAUAGAAUUAAGAAAAGAAAAGAGAGGAAACUCAAAAAGAAAGAAACUCCUUAGACUCACCUGCAGACUCUUUUCAAUAAAGAUGCCAUGUCUGUGUUAUCUCAUUCUGUAAUAUUAAAUUUAACAUUGGAAAAUCCA